Molecule: ribosomal RNA, 492 nt
Filed under: uncultured bacterium
Lineage: Bacteria
Description: partial 16S ribosomal RNA
Rfam family: Bacterial small subunit ribosomal RNA
Source: RNAcentral
AGUGAACGCUGGCGGUAGGCCUAACACAUGCAAGUCGAACGGCAGCACAGUAAGAGCUUGCUCUUACGGGUGGCGAGUGGCGGACGGGUGAGGAAUACAUCGGAAUCUACUUUUUCGUGGGGGAUAACGUAGGGAAACUUACGCUAAUACCGCAUACGACCUACGGGUGAAAGCAGGGGAUCUUCGGACCUUGCGCGAUUGAAUGAGCCGAUGUCGGUUUAGCUAGUUGGCGGGGUAAAGGCCCACCAAGGCGACGAUCCGUAGCUGGUCUGAGAGGAUGAUCAGCCACACUGGAACUGAGACACGGUCCAGACUCCUACGGGAGGCAGCAGUGGGGAAUAUUGGACAAUGGGCGCAAGCCUGAUCCAGCCGUACCGCGUGGGUGAAGAAGGCCUUCGGGUUGUAAAGCCCUUUUGUUGGGAAAGAAAAGCAGCAGGUUAAUACCCCGCUGUUCUGACGGUACCCAAAGAAUAAGCACCGGCUAACUUCGUG